CGGACGGGUGAGUAACGCGUGGGGAACCUGCCCUGUACCGGGGGAUAGCAGCCGGAAACGGCUGAUAAUACCGCAUAAGCGCACGAAUGUCGCAUGACAUGGUGUGAAAAACUCCGGUGGUAUAGGAUGGACCCGCGUCUGAUUAGCCAGUUGGUGGGGUAAAAGCCUACCAAAGCGAAGAUCAGUAGCCGAGUUGAGAGACUGACCGGCCACAUUGGGACUGAGACACGGCCCAGACUCCUACGGGAGGCAGCAGUU
Molecule: ribosomal RNA, 258 nt
Filed under: uncultured bacterium
Lineage: Bacteria
Description: partial 16S ribosomal RNA
Rfam family: Bacterial small subunit ribosomal RNA
Source: RNAcentral